This 670-nucleotide ribosomal RNA is filed under the name uncultured euglenozoan. RNAcentral's name for it is "partial 18S ribosomal RNA". It matches the Rfam family "Eukaryotic small subunit ribosomal RNA", at positions 675 to 1247 of the family's 1831-position model. Lineage: Eukaryota; Euglenozoa. The record is from RNAcentral.
UGUUCCUUGUGCUCACCUGUACACUGUUCUUGAUGUUUCUAACGCAUUGAAUAUUUGCUUAAGGACAAUCGAUCGUGAUACCGAGAACAAAACAGCGUGCUUCAAGCUGGAUCUCCCAGUAGACGACAAAGCUUGUUAUAUCAACGAACCUACCGGUUGAUUGCGAUUUACAGGUUUCUGCAGUCAGUGCGGGGAAUCCGAGCUGGAUCACAUUGAGAACACCUGGCUUGUCUUCGGACAGCUGGAUCAUGUACUCGAAUAGUGUCCUGUUCAAGAUAUUAAUAGGGACCGAUGGAGCUGUCAGUAUUCACAGACGAGGGGUGAAAUCCUUAGACUCUGUGAAGACUAACAACAGCGAAGGCAUUCGGCUAAGAGGCCUUCAUUAAUCAAGAACGAGAGUGCAGGGAUCGAAGAUGAUCAGAUACCGUCGUAGUCUGCUACUGUAAACUAUGCAAACUAGGGAUCAGUUGAUGGUGCAACACAUAUCUGUUGACUCGGUUGGUACCUCUCCUUCUUUUUAACGCGAAAGCUUAAGUCUUCGUGGGGAGUACAGUUGCAAGGCUGAGACUUAAAGGAAUUGACGGAAUGACACCACAAGGCGUGGAUGCUGCGGCUUGAUUUGACUCAACACAGAGAAUGUAACCAGAUCAUGAGGUUGGAGGAUGACAGA